RNAcentral lists this long non-coding RNA (676 nucleotides) under Portunus trituberculatus (swimming crab). RNAcentral describes it as "uncharacterized LOC123506462, transcript variant X1". Lineage: Eukaryota; Metazoa; Arthropoda; Malacostraca; Decapoda; Portunidae. The record is from RNAcentral.
ACUACUACUACUACGACUAAAUUUACUUGAGUGUGUGUUAGAAAACGGGCGAAAAGAAAAUUGGCAACUUUUAUUGUUUACACCAUUAGUCACUAGCCGGAUGCCAUAGAGAGUGCACGUGCUUCCCUACCACGCCUUUGCAGUUUUCCAUGCUGUAACCAUGAAACGAAGGAGAUGCAUUAGUGGUGAGGUGUUGCAGCUACUAGUCAACUCCGACGAUUUCCAGCAUGACCUUGACAGUACCGCAGGCGAGGUCAGUGAUGCCAACACUACCGUUGACGCCGUGCAAGGAGGUCACCCUGUACACAGGAGAACAUGCCCCAAGGAGGUCACCCUACACAGGAGAACAUGCCCAGAUCACUCUGAUGUCCUCUGCUUCGACUGCCAGGAAUAAGUGAAAUGCAGCAAGAUAUGUAUGCAGCUCGGGAUUGGAAGGCACCUGGCAAUGUCGAGUGAUGCAUGUAGUAUAUAUUUCUAGCUUUAGUUUUUAGUAUCAGUUAAUUUCAUGAUCUCAGGAACCAAAAAAUUAAGUACUUUUUUUUCUUAAAAAAUUUUUUUUAUAAUUAUUCUGGAAAUUCAUUUUUGUUUAUAUUUCAUUCAUUUUUGUGUUUGCAGGCAUCUACGAGCCUUAUACUUUCAGUUUAGCAUUAUUUGGUUUAAAUAAAAUAAGUUUGUA